This 497-nucleotide ribosomal RNA is filed under the name uncultured bacterium. Its description in RNAcentral is "bacterial SSU rRNA". It matches the Rfam family "Bacterial small subunit ribosomal RNA", at positions 28 to 532 of the family's 1533-position model. The record is from RNAcentral.
GACGAACGCUGGCGGCGUGCCUAAUACAUGCAAGUCGAGCGGACCAAAGGGAGCUUGCUCCUGGAGGUUAGCGGCGAACGGGUGAGUAACACGUGGGCAACCUGCCUGUAAGACUGGGAUAACAUCGAGAAAUCGGUGCUAAUACCGGAUAAUAAAAAGAACUGCAUGGUUCUUUUUUGAAAGAUGGUUUCGGCUAUCACUUACAGAUGGGCCCGCGGCGCAUUAGCUAGUUGGUGAGGUAACGGCUCACCAAGGCAACGAUGCGUAGCCGACCUGAGAGGGUGAUCGGCCACACUGGGACUGAGACACGGCCCAGACUCCUACGGGAGGCAGCAGUAGGGAAUCUUCCGCAAUGGACGAAAGUCUGACGGAGCAACGCCGCGUGAGUGAUGAAGGUUUUCGGAUUGUAAACUUCUUUGAUCGGGGACGAAAUUGACGGUACCCGAAAAACAAGCCACGGCUAACUACGUGCCAGCAGCCGCGGUAAUGUACAGUGU